GACGAGUCGAGUAGUUUGGGAAUGCUGCUCUAAAUGGGAGGUAUAUUUCUUCUAAAGCUAAAUACUGGCCAGAGACCGAUAGCGCACAAGUAGAGUGAUCGAAAGAUGAAAAGCACUUUGAAAAGAGGGUUAAAUAGCACGUGAAAUUGUUGAAAGGGAAGCGUUUAUCACCAGACUUUUUCUAGGGGGAUCAUCCGGUGUUCUCACCGGUGCACUUCCCCUGGUUGAGGCCAGCAUCGGUUUUCGGAGGGGGAUAAAAGCUU
Molecule: ribosomal RNA, 263 nt
Filed under: fungal sp.
Lineage: Eukaryota; Fungi
Description: partial 28S ribosomal RNA
Rfam family: Eukaryotic large subunit ribosomal RNA
Source: RNAcentral